GUGAAUACUUAAUUACGGAUAUGUUACCAUUCUACCUUUGCUUGAAUUCCCUUAACGCUUAGGAACUCUGCUCUGAAAAUGUGCGUUUUGUCUGAUGGCGGGGUCGGAGGAGUAGCAGGGCCAGGAUCCAGCAUGCUCCUUUCAUCUCUUAAACACAAGCUCAGUCUGCAGCCUGGCAAGAAUUGCUGUAAAGGUGCAUGAUUCCAUUCUGUGGACACUGCAAAGAUAUUUUUCUGGAUGAGUAACUGAAAAGAGGCAAAUUCAUGACCUUGACCUUGAAGACAGCAACAUUAACAGAGCUGCAAUACCAUACUCUGGGGCCACCUACUUAUGUCAUAUCAACUCACAAAAAGUACCAGUAAUAUUUACAGUUGGUCUUUAAACAGCAGUGGAUAUGAAUAAAAAAGCAAUAUCUCAC
Molecule: long non-coding RNA, 418 nt
Filed under: Cavia porcellus (domestic guinea pig)
Lineage: Eukaryota; Metazoa; Chordata; Mammalia; Rodentia; Caviidae
Description: lncRNA (ENSCPOG00000034652.1)
Source: RNAcentral